UCCCUCUCCUCCUCCCGGAGCCCAGGGGCGGGGGCCGCCUCCACCAGCCCUCGCAGGGCCUGGCCCAGAUCCCCCAGGCCCCUGACGGCCUCCACCAGCCGGCCCAGCUCCAGGCCCGCGGCCCUCCUCUCGGCGCGGCUCUGCUGCACGGCCUGGGUCAGGAUCCGCAGCUGCUUCCCCACGUCCCUCACGGCGCCCACCAGCUCCCGCAGGGCCGGCGGCUCGCAGGCCAUGACUCGGAGGACGGCCGGGGCGGCCCCCACGCACUGGCCUGUCUCCACGUCCCGGGGGGCCGUGGGGCCUGCUGCCGGGGGCUGCUCGGGGCCGGGCUUGGGAGUCGGGGCCGGGGCGGGGACGGGACCGGGGUUAACGGUGGGCACCGCGGCCGCCAUGAGGCUCGAGUCCCGGGCAGUGGGGGUCGGGGGAGGCGCAGGGCUGGAGCCGGGGGCAGGGCCGAGACCUCUGGCCGUCUCCGAAGGGGCCGGGGAGACUUGGAGGGGACCCUGGCCGGGGGCUGGGGGAGGCUGUGCGCCGCCGGGAGGCUGGGGCCCUGGGGCCGUCCCUGAGCUGGCCGGGGCCACGCUGGCUGGCUGGGACGUGGGGCUGAGCUCUGGAGCUUCUGCUGUCCAAGAGGGCAAGGGCAGGGUCCGCCCGUGGGCGCUGGGGGGGGUGGUGGUCAUCUCCGGGCCUGGGGAUGGGCUAAGCUCCAGCUCAGUUUGGGUGGGAUUAAAGGCGGGGGUCAGCCGCGGGGGCUGAGAGGUCAGCACUGGGGUGGAGGUGGGGUCAGAAGGCAUCUGCAGGGACAUGUCAGAGGUCAGGAGGGAGAUAGAAUCAGGAGUGAAUCGUGGUGCGGUGGAGGGAGAAGUCAACAGUGGGCUAGAAUCAGAGGUCAGGUCUAAGGGGGAGUUAGGGGUCAGCUGUGGGCUGGGGUCAGAGGUCAGCUGUUUGUCUGAAUCAGGGGUCAGCCGCGGACUGAGGUCAGUGGUCAGAGACAGUCCGAGAUCAGAGGUCAAAUGUGUGCUCGAUU
This 1027-nucleotide long non-coding RNA is filed under the name Sarcophilus harrisii (Tasmanian devil). Its description in RNAcentral is "lncRNA (ENSSHAG00000022590.1)". The record is from RNAcentral. Lineage: Eukaryota; Metazoa; Chordata; Mammalia; Dasyuromorphia; Dasyuridae.